This 780-nucleotide ribosomal RNA is filed under the name Pseudomonas aeruginosa. Its description in RNAcentral is "bacterial SSU rRNA". It matches the Rfam family "Bacterial small subunit ribosomal RNA", at positions 82 to 858 of the family's 1533-position model. The record is from RNAcentral. Lineage: Bacteria; Pseudomonadati; Pseudomonadota; Gammaproteobacteria; Pseudomonadales; Pseudomonadaceae.
GCUCCUGGAUUCAGCGGCGGACGGGUGAGUAAUGCCUAGGAAUCUGCCUGGUAGUGGGGGAUAACGUCCGGAAACGGGCGCUAAUACCGCAUACGUCCUGAGGGAGAAAGUGGGGGAUCUUCGGACCUCACGCUAUCAGAUGAGCCUAGGUCGGAUUAGCUAGUUGGUGGGGUAAAGGCCUACCAAGGCGACGAUCCGUAACUGGUCUGAGAGGAUGAUCAGUCACACUGGAACUGAGACACGGUCCAGACUCCUACGGGAGGCAGCAGUGGGGAAUAUUGGACAAUGGGCGAAAGCCUGAUCCAGCCAUGCCGCGUGUGUGAAGAAGGUCUUCGGAUUGUAAAGCACUUUAAGUUGGGAGGAAGGGCAGUAAGUUAAUACCUUGCUGUUUUGACGUUACCAACAGAAUAAGCACCGGCUAACUUCGUGCCAGCAGCCGCGGUAAUACGAAGGGUGCAAGCGUUAAUCGGAAUUACUGGGCGUAAAGCGCGCGUAGGUGGUUCAGCAAGUUGGAUGUGAAAUCCCCGGGCUCAACCUGGGAACUGCAUCCAAAACUACUGAGCUAGAGUACGGUAGAGGGUGGUGGAAUUUCCUGUGUAGCGGUGAAAUGCGUAGAUAUAGGAAGGAACACCAGUGGCGAAGGCGACCACCUGGACUGAUACUGACACUGAGGUGCGAAAGCGUGGGGAGCAAACAGGAUUAGAUCCCCUGGUAGUCCACGCCGUAAACGAUGUCGACUAGCCGUUGGGAUCCUUGAGAUCUUAGUGGCGCAGCUAACGC